RNAcentral lists this ribosomal RNA (497 nucleotides) under uncultured bacterium. Its description in RNAcentral is "partial 16S ribosomal RNA". It matches the Rfam family "Bacterial small subunit ribosomal RNA", at positions 28 to 507 of the family's 1533-position model. The record is from RNAcentral.
GAUGAACGCUGGCGGCGUGCCUAAUACAUGCAAGUCGAGCGAACAGACUAGGAGCUUGCUCCUCUCACGUUAGUGGCGGACGGGUGAGUAACACGUGGAUAACCUACCUCUAAGACUGGGAUAACUUCGGGAAACCGUAGCUAAUACCGCAUAAUAUAUUAAACCGCAUGGUUCAGUAGUGAAAGACGCUUUUGCUGCCAUUAAUAGAUGGAUCGGCGCCGCUUUAGCAGGUUGUUAAGGUACCGGCUUACCAAGGCAACGAACAGAAGCCGCCCUGGGAGGGUGAUCGACCACACGGGAACGAGAACACGGCCCGACCCCCUAGGGGAGGCGGCAGUAGGGAAUCUUCCGCAAGGGGCGAAAGCCUGACGGAGCAACGCCGCGGAGGUGAGGAAGGUCUUCGGAUCGUAAAACUCGUUGAUUAGGGAGGAACAAAUGUGGAAGUAAAAAUGCACGUCUUGACGGUACCUAAUCAGAAAGCCACGGCUAACUACGUG